RNAcentral lists this ribosomal RNA (22 nucleotides) under Ceriporia viridans. Its description in RNAcentral is "partial 18S ribosomal RNA". Lineage: Eukaryota; Fungi; Basidiomycota; Agaricomycetes; Polyporales; Irpicaceae. The record is from RNAcentral.
GUGACCUGCGGAGGAUCAUUAC